AUGAUUUGGUCCAAUUUUGCUUUAAAUUUGACCCGCUUCAAGCUGAAUCGACGGAAAUUUGUCUUUUUCACCAGAGGCGAUUCCAGCAUGCUGGUCGUCGGCUCCGCGGACACCUUCGAGGACAUCCAUGCCAAGGUGCAAGUGGAGAAGCUCCCCGCCGUCUUCUACUACACGGCUGUCUGGUGUGGGUCGUGUCCGGCGAUGGCACCUGUGAUCGAGAAGAUGAGCAGGCAGUACCCCAAGAUACCCGUGUACAAGGUGGACAUCGACAUGCUAGCAGGAGCAAUUCUCUUGCUGGUAUGCAUGUAUGCCUGUGCUUUGGUCUUACUGCAUGUGAGCUCGGUUUAUGCACUAGCAGAAAUCGUCAAUGUUUGCUACUGGAAAAUCAAUUUGCAUUAA
Molecule: ribosomal RNA, 399 nt
Filed under: Triticum aestivum (bread wheat)
Lineage: Eukaryota; Viridiplantae; Streptophyta; Magnoliopsida; Poales; Poaceae
Description: partial small subunit ribosomal RNA
Source: RNAcentral